Long non-coding RNA from Drosophila albomicans, 701 nucleotides. RefSeq lists it as uncharacterized. Lineage: Eukaryota; Metazoa; Arthropoda; Insecta; Diptera; Drosophilidae. The transcript has 2 exons. The record is from RefSeq and is a predicted model, not a curated record.
AGGCAAUUUGUAUAGUUGCUUAGUUGAAGUGUGCCUUGAGGAAGAGUUUGAUUUAUUUUGAGUUGAACUAAUAUUUAAAGAUGCCACGAGAAGUCAAAUACAAUAAUGAGAAGAAAAGAAGAAAAGUAUCUUGCAAAGCUACUUUUGCUUUUGGAACAAGAAACGAACGAAAAAAUUUAAAUUGAUCAAUUAAUAACGAAAGAUGAAAAGCCGAAACCAAUUUAUAGGUCUCGACUGUGUUAGAAUUACGGAAUCAAAGCGGGAUCUAAAAGAAGAAUUGCCUGAGUGCUUUCCAAAUCGAGAAAGUUUUGGAGCAAGUUACCCAGACCGUUGAGGUGAUCUCAAAACUACAAGACGACGUCACAAAGGACUCCACAACGAACAAGUGAAAUGAACAAAGUACAAACAAAACAACGCGUAACUGAGCAAAUGAAAAUUUAUACUUUAAAUAAGUAGGAGAAAGCCAAAAUAACGCUGGGACCAAGUUCCCAACCCAAUGGCAUUUGCUUAGCUGUAACACGGACUAAACACGGCGGAGAUAAAUCACAAAAUAAAAAAAAAAACCGUAAGUAAGUCAAGGGGAAAAGACGCAGGUUAAUGGAUUUCUCUUGUGAUAUUUGACUUUAGUGAGAAAAGCUGACCCAACCCAAUUUUCGGACCAGGUCUAUAUAAAUAUAUUCUCACUGUAUUUUUAACCUUUA